RNAcentral lists this transfer RNA (75 nucleotides) under Methanomicrobiales archaeon. RNAcentral's name for it is "tRNA-Glu". It matches the Rfam family "tRNA". From Rfam's summary of the family: Transfer RNA (tRNA) molecules are approximately 80 nucleotides in length. Lineage: Archaea; Methanobacteriati; Methanobacteriota; Methanomicrobia; Methanomicrobiales. RNAcentral also lists the same sequence under 1 other name. The record is from RNAcentral.
GCUGCUAUAGUGUAGACCGGCCAAUCAUCCCGGCCUUUCACGCCGGGGACUGGGGUUCAAAUCCCCAUAGCAGCA